UACGUAGGGUGCAAGCGUUGUCCGGAAUUAUUGGGCGUAAAGAGCUCGUAGGCGGUUUGUCGCGUCGAAUGUGAAAACCCGGGGCUCAACCCCCGGGCCUGCAUUCGAUACGGGCAGACUAGAGUGUGGUAGGGGAGACUGGAAUUCCUGGUGUAGCGGUGGAAUGCGCAGAUAUCAGGAGGAACACCAAUGGCGAAGGCAGGUCUCUGGGCCACAACUGACGCUGGAGGAGCGAAAGCGUGGGGAGCGAACAGGA
This 256-nucleotide ribosomal RNA is filed under the name uncultured bacterium. Its description in RNAcentral is "partial 16S ribosomal RNA". It matches the Rfam family "Bacterial small subunit ribosomal RNA", at positions 524 to 777 of the family's 1533-position model. The record is from RNAcentral.